GAUGAAGAACGUAGCGAAAUGCGAUAAGUAAUGUGAAUUGCAGAAUUCAGUGAAUCAUCGAAUCUUAGAACGCACAUUGCGCCCGCUAGUAUUCUGGCGGGCAUGCCUGUCCGAGCGUCAUUUCAACCCUCAAGCCCCCGGGCUUGGUGUUGGGGAUCGGCGAGCCUCCGCGCCCGCCGUCCCCUAAAUCUAGUGGCGGUCUCGCUGUAGCUUCCUCUGCGUAGUAGCACACCUCGCGCUGGGAAACAGCGCGGCCACGCCGUUAAACCCCCAACUUCUGAACGUUUGACCUCGGAUCAGGUAGGAAUACCCGCUGAACUUAAGCAUAUCAAUAAGCGGAGGA
RNAcentral lists this unclassified non-coding RNA (343 nucleotides) under soil metagenome. Its description in RNAcentral is "partial contains 5.8S ribosomal RNA, internal transcribed spacer 2, and large subunit ribosomal RNA". The stretch from base 1 to 120 matches the Rfam family "5.8S ribosomal RNA", at positions 35 to 154 of the family's 154-position model. The record is from RNAcentral.